AUGGAGCCGUCGCGGCGGCUUCUGCUCUCCGACUACGACGGCGCGAUCAUGUCGCCGCUGCCGUCGCCGUCCACGUCCUCGGCCGCGCCGUUCAAGCCGGGCGUGGCGGUGGUCGUGGGGAUACUGACGAGCGUCUUCUCCAUCACGUUCCUCCUGCUGCUCUACGCCAAGCACUGCAAGCGGAGCGCCGCGGAGUCGUCGGGCCCGUACGGCAGCGGUGGUGGUUCCGGUGGCGGGGCGGCGGGUGAGCGGAGGAACUCCGGCGUGGAACGCGCGGUGGUGGAGUCGCUCCCGGUGUUCCGCUUCGGCGCGCUGCGCGGGCAGAAGGCCGGGCUCGAGUGCGCCGUCUGCCUCGGCCGCUUCGAGCCGACGGAGGCGCUGCGGCUGCUGCCCAAAUGCCGGCAUGGGUUCCACGUCGAGUGCGUGGAUACGUGGCUGGAUGCGCACUCCACGUGCCCGCUCUGCCGCUCCCGCGUCGACCCGGAGGACGUGCUGCUCCUGCCCGAGCCGCCCAAGCCGUCCACGACGGGACCUCCCGAACCGCCGGAGCAGAAAGCUGCUGCUGCUGCUGCCACUGCCGUUGCGACGGUCAAGGACAAGAGCAAGGACGCAGCCUUGGCUCCUGCACCUGCUCCCUCCCCGGCGUGGCGAAGGAUCGGGGGCCGGCACUCGACGGGGUCAGUGCGAGCGCCUGGGCGGGUUGGCCCUACGUCACGGCGCUCGGCCGAUCUGGAGUUGGGAGGAGGCGAUGGUGGCGCGGCUACGGUGGGCUGCUUCGACGUCGCGAAGGUGAGGAAGGACCGGGUGCUGAUGGUGGAGCCGGCAGCCGCAGUGGCGGAGCCCGAUCCCGUGGCGUUCGACAGGCGCUUCGGGCACCGUAUCCUGGUGAGCACCGCGUGCGGCUGCGACGACGAGACGGCCCCGGCAGCGAAGCAGCGGUGGAGCGACCUCCGGCCGGCCGAUCUGAUGUUCGUGCGGUCAGAGAUGCUGGUGACAGAGACCGGGCGAUACUCCUGCUCGGCCGCCGUCAACUCAGGCAACCGCGGCAGGACGGAGAUCAGCGGGCGCUGCCUCUCCGAGAUCGCCGGCGUGAGCCGCCUCCCUCCGAUCCGCGCCGGCGCAGAAGCGCGGGCCGGGAGCGCGCGUCGGUGGCCGGGCUCGAGCUGGUGGGCCCGGGGCUCGCCCGGCGUUAACGGCCCUAGCACCUAG
RNAcentral lists this ribosomal RNA (1209 nucleotides) under Triticum aestivum (bread wheat). RNAcentral's name for it is "partial small subunit ribosomal RNA". Lineage: Eukaryota; Viridiplantae; Streptophyta; Magnoliopsida; Poales; Poaceae. The record is from RNAcentral.